RNAcentral lists this ribosomal RNA (2921 nucleotides) under Lactiplantibacillus plantarum. RNAcentral describes it as "LSU rRNA". It matches the Rfam family "Bacterial large subunit ribosomal RNA". The record is from RNAcentral. Lineage: Bacteria; Bacillati; Bacillota; Bacilli; Lactobacillales; Lactobacillaceae.
GGUUAAGUUAACAAGGGCGCAUGGUGAAUGCCUUGGCACUAGGAGCCGAUGAAGGACGGGACUAACACCGAUAUGCUUCGGGGAGCUGUACGUAAGCUAUGAUCCGGAGAUUUCCGAAUGGGGCAACCCAGCAGUUUUAAUCAACUGUUACCACUAGAUGAAUUCAUAGUCUAGUUGGAGGUAAACGCUGUGAACUGAAACAUCUCAUUAGCAGCAGGAAUAUAAAGAAAUUUCGAUUCCCUAAGUAGCGGCGAGCGAACGGGGAACAGCCCAAACCAAAGUGCUUGCACUUUGGGGUUGUAGGACUGAACAUUUGAGUUACCAAAGAACUUGAUAGUCGAAGGAUUUGGGAAAAUCCGCCAUAGAUGGUGAUAGCCCAGUAGAUUAAAUCAAAUUCUCUCAGUUCAGGAUCCUGAGUACGGCGGAACACGUGAAAUUCCGUCGGAAUCCGGGAGGACCAUCUCCCAAGGCUAAAUACUACCUAGUGACCGAUAGUGAACCAGUACCGUGAGGGAAAGGUGAAAAGCACCCCGGGAGGGGAGUGAAAUAGUUCCUGAAACCAUGUGCCUACAAUAAGUCAGAGCGCGUUAAUGCGUGAUGGCGUGCCUUUUGUAGAAUGAACCGGCGAGUUAUGAUCCCGUGCAAGGUUAAGACUAAAAAGUCGGAGCCGUAGCGAAAGCGAGUCUGAAAUGGGCGAUUUGAGUACGAGGUUAUAGACCCGAAACCAGGUGACCUAUCCAUGUCCAGGUUGAAGGUGCGGUAAAACGCACUGGAGGACCGAACCCGUGUAAGUUGAAAAUUGCUGGGAUGAGGUGUGGAUAGCGGUGAAAUUCCAAACGAACUUGGAGAUAGCUGGUUCUCUCCGAAAUAGCUUUAGGGCUAGCCUCGGAAUUAGGAUCAUGGAGGUAGAGCACUAUUUGGACUAGGGGCCCGUCUUGGGUUACUGAAUUCAGAUAAACUCCGAAUGCCAUUGAUUCAUAUCCGGGAGUCAGACGAUGAGUGAUAAGAUCCACCGUCGAAAGGGGAACAGCCCAGACCAUCAGUUAAGGUCCCUAAAUGUAUGCUAAGUGGAAAAGGAUGUGGAGUUGCAUAGACAACUAGGAUGUUGGCUCAGAAGCAGCCACCAUUUAAAGAGUGCGUAAUAGCUCACUAGUCGAGUGAUCCUGCGCCGAAAAUGUACCGGGGCUAAGCAUACUACCGAAACCAUGGAUGCGACCAUUAGGUCGCGUGAUAGGAGAGCGUUCUAAGGGCGGUGAAGCAAGAUCGUGAGGACUUGUGGAGCGCUUAGAAGUGAGAAUGCCGGUAUGAGUAGCGAAAGAUAGGUGAGAAUCCUAUCCACCGAAUGACUAAGGUUUCCUGGGGAAGGCUCGUCCUCCCAGGGUUAGUCGGGACCUAAGUCGAGGCCGAGAGGCGUAGACGAUGGAUAACAGGUUGAGAUUCCUGUACUAGUUAAGUGCGUUUGAGCAAUGGAGGGACGCAGGAGGCUAAGAUGUGCAUUCUGUUGGAUUAGAAUGUCCAAGCAGUAAGUCUUGUGAAGAGUCAAAUGCUUUUCACUUUAAGGACAAGCUGUGAUGGGGAGCGAAAUUUAGUAGCGAAGCGUCUGAUGUCACACUGCCGAGAAAAGCUUCUAGUGAGUACUUAACUACCCGUACCGCAAACCGACACAGGUAGUCGAGGAGAGAAUCCUAAGGUGAGCGAGUGAACUCUCGUUAAGGAACUCGGCAAAAUGACCCCGUAACUUCGGGAGAAGGGGUGCUGAUCGCAAGAUCAGCCGCAGUGAAUAGGCCCAGGCGACUGUUUAUCAAAAACACAGGUCUCUGCAAAAUCGUAAGAUGACGUAUAGGGGCUGACGCCUGCCCGGUGCUGGAAGGUUAAAAGGAUGGGUUAGCUUCGGCGAAGCUCAGAAUUGAAGCCCCAGUAAACGGCGGCCGUAACUAUAACGGUCCUAAGGUAGCGAAAUUCCUUGUCGGGUAAGUUCCGACCCGCACGAAAGGCGUAACGAUCUGGGCACUGUCUCAACGAGAGACUCGGUGAAAUUAUAUUGUCCGUGAAGAUGCGGACUACCCGCGACAGGACGGAAAGACCCCAUGGAGCUUUACUGUAGCUUGAUAUUGAGUGUUUGUACAGCUUGUACAGGAUAGGUAGGAGCCAUAGAAACCGGAACGCUAGUUUCGGUGGAGGCGUUGGUGGGAUACUACCCUCGCUGUAUGACCACUCUAACCCGCACCACUAAUCGUGGUGGGAGACAGUGUCAGGUGGGCAGUUUGACUGGGGCGGUCGCCUCCUAAAAAGUAACGGAGGCGCCCAAAGGUUCCCUCAGAAUGGUUGGAAAUCAUUCGCAGAGUGUAAAGGCACAAGGGAGCUUGACUGCGAGACAGACAGGUCGAGCAGGGACGAAAGUCGGGCUUAGUGAUCCGGUGGUACCGUAUGGAAGGGCCAUCGCUCAACGGAUAAAAGCUACCCUGGGGAUAACAGGCUUAUCUCCCCCAAGAGUCCACAUCGACGGGGAGGUUUGGCACCUCGAUGUCGGCUCAUCGCAUCCUGGGGCUGUAGUCGGUCCCAAGGGUUGGGCUGUUCGCCCAUUAAAGCGGUACGCGAGCUGGGUUCAGAACGUCGUGAGACAGUUCGGUCCCUAUCCGUCGCGGGCGUAGGAAAUUUGAGAGGACCUGUCCUUAGUACGAGAGGACCGGGAUGGACAUACCUCUGGUGUACCAGUUGUGCCGCCAGGCGCAUCGCUGGGUAGCUACGUAUGGAUGUGAUAAACGCUGAAAGCAUCUAAGUGUGAAACACACCUCGAGAUGAGAUUUCCCAUUCCUUUAUGGAAGUAAGACCCCUGAAAGAUGAUCAGGUAGAUAGGUUAGAAGUGGCAGUGCGGUGACGCAUGAAGCGGACUAAUACUAAUCGGUCGAGGACUUAACCAA